This 515-nucleotide ribosomal RNA is filed under the name uncultured bacterium. RNAcentral's name for it is "partial 16S ribosomal RNA". It matches the Rfam family "Bacterial small subunit ribosomal RNA", at positions 28 to 523 of the family's 1533-position model. The record is from RNAcentral.
GAUGAACGCUGGCGGCGUGCCUAAUACAUGCAAGUCGAGCGAAUGGAUUAAGAGCUUGCUCUUAUGAAGUUAGCGGCGGACGGGUGAGUAACACGUGGGUAACCUGCCCAUAAGACUGGGAUAACUCCGGGAAACCGGGGCUAAUACCGGAUAACAUUUUGAACCGCAUGGUUCGAAACUGAAAGGCGGCUUCGGCUGUCACUUAUGGAUGGACCCGCGUCGCAUUAGCUAGUUGGUGAGGUAACGGCUCACCAAGGCAACGAUGCGUAGCCGACCUGAGAGGGUGAUCGGCCACACUGGGACUGAGACACGGCCCAGACUCGUACGGGAGGCAGCAGUAGGGAAUCUUCCGCAAUGGACGAAAGUCUGACGGAGCAACGCCGCGUGAGUGAUGAAGGCUUUCGGGUCGUAAAACUCUGUUGUUAGGGAAGAACAAGUGCUAGUUGAAUAAGCUGGCACCUUGACGGUACCUAACCAGAAAGCCACGGCUAACUACGUGCCAGCAGCCGCCGCAG